This 427-nucleotide long non-coding RNA is filed under the name Helianthus annuus (common sunflower). Its description in RNAcentral is "sRNA HanXRQr2_Chr04g0170071". The record is from RNAcentral. Lineage: Eukaryota; Viridiplantae; Streptophyta; Magnoliopsida; Asterales; Asteraceae.
ACUUAACCAUUAGUCAUUGACAUCAUCGUACAACUAAAUUCACAUAUAAUUAAAUAGUAUAACAUUCGACAACGUAAACUUUGAUUUAUCCGACUAUCCUCUCGGAUUCUCUCGUUCCGAGUUCAGCUUCCAUUCCACGAGAAUCCGUCGUUCUCAUUCCUGCAUUACCUACCAAUCUCAAGCACAUUGUUAGUGAGAUCCUUACCCAAACAUAUUGAAACCAAGCAUACCUGCAUACGUACUUGCGUGCUUACAUAUUCGUGUCUAUGCAUAUUUUACUUACAUCCAAUUCUUGUUUAACUUGUUCAACCCAAAAACAUCAAGAGAACACCCAAAAUUUGGUUUAGAAGGCUUACCAUAGACCACGGUUGAUAUACCGAAGCUUACGAUACAUUAAACAACUUAGUUAACAAAUUUCAGCAUUCUA